This 800-nucleotide ribosomal RNA is filed under the name Pedobacter soli. RNAcentral describes it as "bacterial SSU rRNA". It matches the Rfam family "Bacterial small subunit ribosomal RNA", at positions 56 to 856 of the family's 1533-position model. The record is from RNAcentral. Lineage: Bacteria; Pseudomonadati; Bacteroidota; Sphingobacteriia; Sphingobacteriales; Sphingobacteriaceae.
UGCAAGUCGAACGCGAUUAAGGGGCUUGCUCCUUAUGAAAGUGGCGCACGGGUGCGUAACGCGUAUGCAACCUACCUUUAUCAGGGGGAUAGCCCGGAGAAAUCCGGAUUAACACCGCAUAAAAUCACAGGAUAGCAUUAUCCAAUGAUCAAAUAUUUAUAGGAUAAAGAUGGGCAUGCGUGUCAUUAGCUAGUUGGCGGGGUAACGGCCCACCAAGGCGACGAUGACUAGGGGAUCUGAGAGGAUGGCCCCCCACACUGGUACUGAGACACGGACCAGACUCCUACGGGAGGCAGCAGUAAGGAAUAUUGGUCAAUGGAGGCAACUCUGAACCAGCCAUGCCGCGUGCAGGAAGACUGCCCUAUGGGUUGUAAACUGCUUUUAUCCGGGAAUAAACCUACUUACGUGUAAGUAGCUGAAUGUACCGGAAGAAUAAGGAUCGGCUAACUCCGUGCCAGCAGCCGCGGUAAUACGGAGGAUCCAAGCGUUAUCCGGAUUUAUUGGGUUUAAAGGGUGCGUAGGCGGCCUGUUAAGUCAGGGGUGAAAGACGGUAGCUCAACUAUCGCAGUGCCCUUGAUACUGAUGGGCUUGAAUGGACUAGAGGUAGGCGGAAUGAGACAAGUAGCGGUGAAAUGCAUAGAUAUGUCUCAGAACACCGAUUGCGAAGGCAGCUUACUAUGGUCUUAUUGACGCUGAGGCACGAAAGCGUGGGGAUCAAACAGGAUUAGAUACCCUGGUAGUCCACGCCCUAAACGAUGAACACUCGCUGUUGGCGAUACACAGUCAGCGGCUAAGCGAAA